This 328-nucleotide ribosomal RNA is filed under the name uncultured eukaryote. RNAcentral's name for it is "partial 18S ribosomal RNA". It matches the Rfam family "Eukaryotic small subunit ribosomal RNA", at positions 1470 to 1796 of the family's 1831-position model. The record is from RNAcentral.
CCCUUAGACGUUCUGGGCCGCACGCGCGCUACACUGACGGAGCCAGCGAGUAUAAACCUUGGCCGAGAGGUCUGGGAAAUCUUGUGAAACUCCGUCGUGCUGGGGAUAGAGCAUUGUAAUUAUUGCUCUUCAACGAGGAAUUCCUAGUAAGCGCAAGUCAUCAGCUUGCGUUGAUUACGUCCCUGCCCUUUGUACACACCGCCCGUCGCUACUACCGAUUGAAUGGCUUAGUGAGGCUUCCGGAUUGGUUUAGAGAAGGGGGCAACUCCAUCUUGGAACCGAGAAGCUAGCCAAACUUGGUCAUUUAGAGGAAGUAAAAGUCGUAACA